UACAGAGGUCCCAAGCGUUGUUCGGAUUUACUGGGCGUAAAGGGUGCGUAGGCGGCAAGGUAAGUCUGGUGUGAAAUCUCGGAGCCUAACUCCGAAACGGCAUCGGAUACUAUCUUGCUCGAGGGUUGGAAGGGGGACUGGAAUUCUCGGUGUAGCAGUGAAAUGCGUAGAUAUCGAGAGGAACACCAGUGGCGAAGGCGAGUCCCUGGACAACUCCUGACGCUGAGGCACGAAAGCCAGGGGAG
Molecule: ribosomal RNA, 245 nt
Filed under: uncultured bacterium
Lineage: Bacteria
Description: partial 16S ribosomal RNA
Rfam family: Bacterial small subunit ribosomal RNA
Source: RNAcentral